Molecule: long non-coding RNA, 214 nt
Filed under: Fukomys damarensis (Damara mole-rat)
Lineage: Eukaryota; Metazoa; Chordata; Mammalia; Rodentia; Bathyergidae
Description: lncRNA (ENSFDAG00000022910.1)
Source: RNAcentral
CUUCAAUCAAUUUCAAAAGAGCAUCAAUGGGUAAAAAUGUCAGAGGAGAAAGAAGUGAAUUUUCAUCUAGCAUGACUUGGUGCUUGCAUUAUAAAGAUCUCUGGAAAAAACAAGGGCCCUUAGGCUCACAGACCUUCUGAACAACUUCUUACCUUGUCAAAUAUAGGUAAGUUUUAGGUUUCUGAGAGAACAUCUGAAGACAGCUUGGUGCAAG